Long non-coding RNA from Pecten maximus, 2180 nucleotides. RefSeq lists it as uncharacterized. NCBI's taxonomy places the organism in Eukaryota, Metazoa, Mollusca, Bivalvia, Pectinida, Pectinidae. The record is from RefSeq and is a predicted model, not a curated record. The transcript is spliced from 4 exons.
GUUGAAAAAACGGCAAAUCCAUAAAGAAAAUACACUCUUAUGAAAAAUUCUUAUUGAAGUUUUGGCGAUAUGUAACCCCUAGAAUUAAAAAAUAAUAAUUUUCUGGGGAAUCCUCUCACUGUCGAAUGACGAGAUAAAAUGCAAAUUUCCCGCUUUGGGCGCAUGCGCAAGAAUCUAGGCAAGUAGAACGUAAACAUAAGCGGCAGAAACAUGGCUUCCGAAGCCAAGAGAUGUCGGCCUAGAAUUGUAACGAGUUCGGCAACAUAGCGACGUAAAUAGAAAUGGUCACAGGUCAACCCGAUUAUACGACUGGGGAAACAACCCACUAGGUGGAAGACAUUCAAUGAAGAAAAUAGUUUCUCUACAAACGAGCAUGCAGCACGGAUUCUUCUGGAUAAGUGUGCACUUCAUUGACACAAGAAGUUCAUGCAGGUGAAGACAUCCCGACACCAGCUGAAACUUCUAUGGGACCGCCAUCACAUGUGUGCACCCCUACACCAGUAACAUCUACGCCUGCACAUGCCCAUAAAGAACCUAUAGCUAUAGAUAGACCUCCGAUGUCUCAGAUAUAGAAGCUCAGUCAUCACACUCGUCUGAUUUAUCUUGUGUGGAAGCAUUACAAUCAGACUCCUAGAGUAACAUUAAUGCCAGCUUGCUUUCCCAUUACCAACAGAAGGCUAAAGAGGAUGACACCUCAUUUAUUGAUAUACCUCAGACACAUCAACCUGAACACUUGCCAAUGGCUGAAGAUCCCAUAGAAAUUGAAGAGGUUGAUGUUGAUGAUGAGCUUGCAGAGGAUGAAGGAGACAUUGUGGAAACAGACACUCAAAAUGAUAGUGUUGAAGAAAGGAAAUCCAUAUGCUUCCAAAGUGCUCUGUUGUAACUCACUACAGUUCGAAUACCCACAACUUGUCAAAGAAAAGCAUGUGGUGCAAAUAUCAUUCUCCAAUGGAGAUAUGUUGGAUGUGCAGUACAGUUUAAAUGAAUUGGAGGAGCAGCAUUUGGUUCUAGUCCUGGAUCCUCUGGUUCACCUACAUUUUCGCAAAGGUCAAAAACAUUAUCCUGGCUGACGAUACACUAGCUGAAGAACUAAAUUUAUCAGUGGCUUUGGGUCCAUCCUUCUGAUUAUAUCCUAAUACAUAAAACAAUUAUUAUAGAAAAAACCCAUGUGGGUGGGAGUACUGUAGCAUUCUAAUGUAUAAAAAUAACUGUUUUUCCUUAUUUUUGGUUUUUGAGUUGAUAAAUUUUAAUGCACUUAUUAACUUAUCUAUUUUCCCUCAAAUUUCAUCCCAAAUUUUUCUACUAAGGUUUUAUUUAAGGUAUGUAUGCGUUUUUUGAUAGUUUGUGGAAGUAAGUAUGGUGUAAAUGUGGUGUUCAAUUUCAGAACAUGUAGGAGGUAGGUGUUCACUUAAUGGUGUAUUGCAGGUGUUUACAUUUCAGUACUAGUGUGUGUUUGAGAGUGUUCACUUGACAGUAAAUGCAGGUGUUCUUUCAACAUUGUGUGUAGGAAGUGUUCAAUUAUCAGUUUGCAGGAAGUGUUCACUUAUCAGUUUGUGUAGGAAGUGUUCACUAUCAGUGUGUGUAGGAAGUGUUCACUUAUCAGUGUGUGUAGGAAGUGUUCAAUUAUCAGUGUGUGUAGGAAUUAUUCACUAUCAGUUUGUAGGAAGUGUUCAAUUAUCAGUGUGUGUAGGAAGUGUUCACUAUCAGUUUGUAGGAAGUGUUCAAUUAUCAGUGUUUAUACGAAGUGCUCACUUGUGAGAAUGUGUUUGAGGUGCACGUGUGUACUAACAUUGUGUGUAGUUAUUAUUAACUUAUAAUAACAUUGUGUUCAUAGAUGGUUCAUUCUGAUAAAUGUGUUAAUCAAGUGUCUAGUUGCAUAUUUUUUCAAUAUUCUGUGAACUAAAAUGAAAUACCCCCAUGUGUAAUGUAAAUACCUACCUAGAGAAACAGGUCUUAUAACCAUACCAUUCACUUGGUUGGUUAAAAAUUAGGUGUUCAUACACAUAUGGGAAGUAUGUUUGAUGUGUGAGAGGGUCUGUGCAUUUUUGGUAAAAUUUAACACUUUCAGUGAGUAAUAGUAUAAAUUGUCUCCUGAAUGCUUUGGUAAAAUGUCUACUGUUCUUUUUGUCUGUGUACAUGCCAAAGAAAUAUCAAAAUAAAAAAGAUAUGAAAAGAAAUAA